Long non-coding RNA from Anopheles funestus (African malaria mosquito), 632 nucleotides. RefSeq lists it as uncharacterized. NCBI's taxonomy places the organism in Eukaryota, Metazoa, Arthropoda, Insecta, Diptera, Culicidae. The transcript is spliced from 3 exons. The record is from RefSeq and is a predicted model, not a curated record.
CUAAUGUGUCUUGGCUAAGGUGUCUUGGCUAAGGUGUCUUGGCUUAUGUGUCUUCGCUAAGGUGUCUUGGCUAAGGUGUCUUGGCUAAUGUGUCUUGGCUAAGGUGUCUUGGCUAAUGUGUCUUGGCUGAGGUGUCUUGGCUAAGGUGUCUUGGCUAAGGUGUCUUGGCUAAUGUGUCUUGGCUAAUGUGUCUUGGCUAAGGUGUCUUGGCUAAGGUGUCUUGGCUAAGGUGUCUCGGCUAAUGUGUCUAGGCUAAGGUGUCUUGGCUAAGGUGUCUUGGCUAAUGUGUCUUGGCUAAUGUGUCUUGGCUAAUGUGUCUUGGCUAAUGUGUCUCGGCUCAUGUGUCUUGGCUAAGGUGUCUUGGCUAAGGUGUCUUGGCUAAGGUGUCUUGGCUAAGGUGUCUUGGCUAAGGUGUCUUGGCUAAGGUGUCUUGGCUAAGGUGUCUUGGCUAAGGUGUCUUGGCUAAUGUGUCUUGGCUUAGGUGUCUUGGCUAAUGUGUCUUGGCUAAUGUGUCUCUGCUAAGGUGUCUUGGCUAAUGUGUCUUGGCUAAGGUGUCCUGGCUAAUGUGUCUUGGCUAAUGUGUCUUGGCUAAUGUGUCUUGGCUAAGGUGUCUUGGCUAAUGUGUCUUGGCU